UAGAGACAUUUGCUCUUACUUUGCUCCAGGAGAGCCUCCCCAAGCCCUUUGCACUGGUUCUCUCCACACAGGGGAUUUGCAUGUUGUUCUCUAGGGAGGCCCUUCCCUUGCAAGUCUGAGAUAAAAGGUCAGUUCUCAUUUUGCUUAUCAGGGCUCAUCAGUUCAACCUCCCAAAAUGACUUCCCCUGCUCAGCUCCUGGGGCUGCUGAUUCUCUGGAUCACUGGAUCCAGUGGAGAAAUCGUGAUGACACAGACCCCGCUGUCACUGUCCGUCACCCCCGGAGAGCCGGCCUCCAUCUCCUGCAGGGCUAGUCAGAGCCUCCUACAUAGUAAUGGAAACACCUAUUUAAAUUGGUACCGGCAGAAGCCAGGCCAGUCCCCACAGCUCCUCAUCUACUUGGUUUCCAACCGUUUCACUGGAGUCCCAGACAGGUUCAGUGGCAGCGGGUCAGGGACAGAUUUCACGUUGAGGAUCAGCAGGGUGGAGGCUGACGAUAUGGGAGUUUAUUACUGCGGGCAAAAUCUACAGUCUCCUCCCACAGUGGUUCAGGCCGGAACACAAACCUCCUGCCUGGGGUCCCAGCUGCCCCAGGGAGGAGCUUCUCUGGGGAACUGACAGGACAUUCUCUGA
This is a non-coding RNA of Mustela lutreola (European mink), 631 nucleotides long. Lineage: Eukaryota; Metazoa; Chordata; Mammalia; Carnivora; Mustelidae. The record is from the annotation of a RefSeq genome assembly.